This 1440-nucleotide ribosomal RNA is filed under the name uncultured organism. RNAcentral describes it as "16S ribosomal RNA". It matches the Rfam family "Bacterial small subunit ribosomal RNA". The record is from RNAcentral.
AACGCUGGCGGCGUGCUUAACACAUGCAAGUCGAACGGAAAGGCCCUGCUUUUGUGGGGUGCUCGAGUGGCGAACGGGUGAGUAACACGUGAGUAACCUGCCCUUGACUUUGGGAUAACUUCAGGAAACUGGGGCUAAUACCGGAUAGGGGCUCCUGCUGCAUGGUGGGGGUUGGAAAGUUUCGGCGGUUGGGGAUGGGCUCGCGGCUUAUCAGCUUGUUGGUGGGGUAGUGGCUUACCAAGGCUUUGACGGGUAGCCGGCCUGAGAGGGUGACCGGCCACAUUGGGACUGAGAUACGGCCCAGACUCCUACGGGAGGCAGCAGUGGGGAAUAUUGCACAAUGGGCGGAAGCCUGAUGCAGCAACGCCGCGUGCGGGAUGACGGCCUUCGGGUUGUAAACCGCUUUCGCCUGUGACGAAGCGUGAGUGACGGUAAUGGGUAAAGAAGCACCGGCUAACUACGUGCCAGCAGCCGCGGUGAUACGUAGGGUGCGAGCGUUGUCCGGAUUUAUUGGGCGUAAAGGGCUCGUAGGUGGUUGAUCGCGUCGGAAGUGUAAUCUUGGGGCUUAACCCUGAGCGUGCUUUCGAUACGGGUUGACUUGAGGAAGGUAGGGGAGAAUGGAAUUCCUGGUGGAGCGGUGGAAUGCGCAGAUAUCAGGAGGAACACCAGUGGCGAAGGCGGUUCUCUGGGCCUUUCCUGACGCUGAGGAGCGAAAGCGUGGGGAGCGAACAGGCUUAGAUACCCUGGUAGUCCACGCUGUAAACGGUGGGUACUAGGUGUGGGGUCCAUUCCACGGGUUCCGUGCCGUAGCUAACGCUUUAAGUACCCCGCCUGGGGAGUACGGCCGCAAGGCUAAAACUCAAAGGAAUUGACGGGGCCCCGCACAAGCGGCGGAGCAUGCGGAUUAAUUCGAUGCAACGCGUAGAACCUUACCUGGGUUUGACAUGGAUCGGGAGUGCUCAGAGAUGGGUGUGCCUCUUUUGGGGUCGGUUCACAGGUGGUGCAUGGCUGUCGUCAGCUCGUGUCGUGAGAUGUUGGGUUAAGUCCCGCAACGAGCGCAACCCUUGUUCACUGUUGCCAGCACGUUAUGGUGGGGACUCAGUGGAGACCGCCGGGGUCAACUCGGAGGAAGGUGGGGAUGACGUCAAGUCAUCAUGCCCCUUAUGUCCAGGGCUUCACGCAUGCUACAAUGGCUGGUACAGAGAGUGGCGAGCCUGUGAGGGUGAGCGAAUCUCGGAAAGCCGGUCUCAGUUCGGAUUGGGGUCUGCAACUCGACCUCAUGAAGUCGGAGUCGCUAGUAAUCGCAGAUCAGCAACGCUGCGGUGAAUACGUUCCCGGGGCUUGUACACACCGCCCGUCAAGUCAUGAAAGUUGGUAACACCCGAAGCCGGUGGCCUAACCGUUGUGGGGGAGCCGUCGAAGGUGGGACUGGUGAUUAGG